RNAcentral lists this ribosomal RNA (429 nucleotides) under Chloroflexota bacterium. Its description in RNAcentral is "Chloroflexi bacterium partial 16S ribosomal RNA". It matches the Rfam family "Bacterial small subunit ribosomal RNA", at positions 355 to 776 of the family's 1533-position model. Lineage: Bacteria; Bacillati; Chloroflexota. The record is from RNAcentral.
UGGGGAAUAUUGCACAAUGGGCGCAAGCCUGAUGCAGCCAUGCCGCGUGUGUGAAGAAGGCCUUCGGGUUGUAAAGCACUUUCAGCGGGGAGGAAGGCGAUAAGGUUAAUAACCUUGUCGAUUGACGUUACCCGCAGAAGAAGCACCGGCUAACUCCGUGCCAGCAGCCGCGGUAAUACGGAGGGUGCAAGCGUUAAUCGGAAUUACUGGGCGUAAAGCGCACGCAGGCGGUCUGUCAAGUCGGAUGUGAAAUCCCCGGGCUUAACCUGGGAACUGCAUUCGAAACUGGCAGGCUAGAGUCUUGUAGAGGGGGGUAGAAUUCCAGGUGGAGCGGUGAAAUGCGUAGAGAUCUGGAGGAAUACCGGUGGCGAAGGCGGCCCCCUGGACAAAGACUGACGCUCAGGUGCGAAAGCGUGGGGAGCAAACAGG